This 471-nucleotide ribosomal RNA is filed under the name uncultured Thermovirga sp. Its description in RNAcentral is "bacterial SSU rRNA". It matches the Rfam family "Bacterial small subunit ribosomal RNA", at positions 920 to 1382 of the family's 1533-position model. The record is from RNAcentral. Lineage: Bacteria; Thermotogati; Synergistota; Synergistia; Synergistales; Thermovirgaceae.
CCCGCACAAGCGGUGGAGCACGUGGUUUAAUUCGAUGCAAACCGAAGAACCUUACCUGGGUUUGACAUGUACGUGGUACGGAUAUGAAAGCUGAGGGACCACAUCUUCGGAUGCGGAGCGUACACAGGUGCUGCAUGGCUGUCGUCAGCUCGUGUCGUGAGAUGUUGGGUUAAGUCCCGCAACGAGCGCAACCCUGCAUUCAGUUGCCAUCGGUGAGGCCGGGCACUCUGGAUGGACUGCCGGCGACAAGCCGGAGGAAGGUGGGGACGACGUCAAGUCAUCAUGGCCCUUAUGUCCAGGGCGACACACGUGCUACAAUGGCCGGCACAGCGGGAAGCGAAGGGGCGACUCUGAGCGGAUCCCUUAAAGCCGGUCCCAGUUCGGAUUGCAGUCUGCAACUCGACUGCAUGAAGUUGGAAUCGCUAGUAAUCGUGGAUCAGCCAAGCCGCGGUGAAUACGUUCCCGGGCCUU